ACACCUGUUUCUAGUUUACCAUUUAUUGCAUUGGUUGAUUCGGACAGUAUGGUUGAAGUCUGCUUCGUUGAAACUAGCACAGGUAUAUUCCAAGAAAUUGUAUUUACCUUUUAACGCCACAUCAUCGGAUUGAUUGUUCUUUAGCUUCCCCUAUCAUGAUUCUCCUACUAAACGUCUGUUGACAGUGUUACAGUGGCUGUGUUAUUGUUUGUUUCUCAUAAGAUACGAAACCAACAUCGAUCUAGGGCAAAGAUUUCGUUGGCAAACAAUAACAUAUAAAUGACUAACUAGCCCUGGUUAUAACACAGGUGUGAUGACGUCACUGUCUCUGAUUUAGGUAGUUUUUUUUUAUUUUUAUUGCCAGGAAGUUGGGUUACUAAACUGCAGUUUUGUUUGUUGUGAAAUAGUAGUUGAUUGACCAGAUUAAGUUUUUUUUCCUUGUUUAAGAAUUAUUUCAAUGUCCGUUUAUCUCUCCUUGGCUCGCAACUUGAUUGUCUAGACAUUGUAUAAAAUAGUUUUUGUCAUACGAAGCCGAAACUUACUACGUGUUUUAUGUGUCAGCAUUGAUUUGAAACCAUUUAGUGUAGGUAUGACUUUAUUAUUUCAGGCUGGAGGUAGAAACAAAAAGAUAAUAGAAUUUUGGGUGACAGAGCAUUGCAACGCCAACUUGAUAACAAAGAAAGGGAUUCAACAAAAAGCUUAGGAAAUGCUGAAAUGUUGAAUUUAGAAGCUGGAGAAAGUCAAUGAUUAUGUUUGAGAAUAUUGAUGAAAGUUGGAGGGCAUCUGAGCCGAGAUGAAAAUCUUUCCCAAGCCAUCGCGACUCACUGUGUCAAAUGGUUUGGCUAGAUCGAUGAAGGUAAGUGUACAAGUCAUGUUCUGUUCCCUGCAUUUUAAUCAUUACAUGUAACACUUUUGUUUUCGAUUUUUCGUUAGUGCCUUUUGGGCCCCUAUUUGUCAUGUUCACUGAACCUUAUCGUGCUACGCUACUAAGGCUAGCAAUGUAUUUGAUGAAAGUAUUCUCAGGUUGUAUUUAGAACUACUAUACCUCUACUACUAGAUCGAUAUCUCAUGUUCAACGGAUGAAAAAAGAUGUGGAACGGUAUGCAAGACUUUUGUCUCAAAUUGUACAUUGUAAGAAGACUUUAGAUUUGUCUACAACAGUGUUUUCCAAAGUGAGGUACGCCCACCCACCAAGGAUACGGGAAGACUUUGGAGGGGGUACGCUUUGCACUUCAUUAACUAUGCUGAUUUUCUUUAGUACUCAUUUGUAUUAUAAAACUAGCGCGCUGUAUAUUGUGCUUGUCCAUUUUCCAAUGAUUCUAACCCAAUUUCCUUCCCUUUAGCUGUCUUUUUAUGUAAGAAAAACGAAUUUCAAAUUUGUUAGUCAGGUUGUUGUUUUUUCCUAUGUUACCCGGAUGACUUAAUAUUUACCUCUUCCUAGAGUUAAGACUAUAUUUUUUGAUUGGCUAAGUCUAUACUAAUGAGCCCCGCAAUAUUUAUUCUGUUUUUGGAGCUAAUUUAUUUGAUUCAUAAGCCAAGUUUUCUAAUUCCAUACCAAAACAAAAAUUAAUACGGUGUCCGAAUUAAAUUACGAUUUUCUUACCAAAAUGUAUUUCGGACAGCCAGUUUUGGACAUCAAUUAAA
Molecule: long non-coding RNA, 1644 nt
Organism: Biomphalaria glabrata
Lineage: Eukaryota; Metazoa; Mollusca; Gastropoda; Planorbidae
Exons: 3
Source: RefSeq, a predicted model, not a curated record